CCUACGGGAGGCAGCAGUGGGGAAUAUUGGGCAAUGGGCGCAAGCCUGACCCAGCAACGCCGCGUGAAGGAAGAAGGCUUUCGGGUUGUAAACUUCUUUUAUCAGGGACGAAGCAAGUGACGGUACCUGAUGAAUAAGCCACGGCUAACUACGUGCCAGCAGCCGCGGUAAUACGUAGGUGGCAAGCGUUAUCCGGAUUUACGGGGGGGAAGGGGCGUGUAGGCGGGAGUGCAAGUCAGAUGUGAAAACUAUGGGCUCACCCCAUAGCCUUCAUUGGAAACUGUACUUCUUGCGUGCUGGAGAGGCAAUCGGAAUUCCGUGUGUAGCGGUGAAAUGCGUAGAUAUACGGAGGACCACCAGUGGCGAAGGCGGAUUGCUGGACAGUAACUGACGCUGAGGCGCGAAAGCGUGGGGAGCAAACAGGAUUAGAUACCCGUGUAGUC
Molecule: ribosomal RNA, 443 nt
Filed under: uncultured bacterium
Lineage: Bacteria
Description: partial 16S ribosomal RNA
Rfam family: Bacterial small subunit ribosomal RNA
Source: RNAcentral